RNAcentral lists this ribosomal RNA (331 nucleotides) under Polynoidae sp. 679 PB. RNAcentral's name for it is "partial 16S ribosomal RNA". The stretch from base 49 to 331 matches the Rfam family "Bacterial large subunit ribosomal RNA", at positions 2046 to 2567 of the family's 2925-position model. Lineage: Eukaryota; Metazoa; Annelida; Polychaeta; Phyllodocida; Polynoidae. The record is from RNAcentral.
AAGGAUUAACGAAAUUCUCACUUUAUUAACUUUAUCAUUAAAAUCUGAAUUUCAGGUGAAGAUGCCUGAAUAAAUUUGAAAGACAAGAAGACCCUAUAGAGUUUUAGUGACUUCUCUAUCUAUAAAUACAUCACUUUAAUUGGGGCGAUUAAGGAUUUAUCUCUACAUCCUUAUAUUUAAACGAUUAUAAUUUCUUAUUAAAAAUCCUUUUACUUGAAUUUUAAAACAACUACCUUAGGGAUAACAGGCUUAUCUUCCUAACAAGUCCAAAUUAACAGGAAGGUUUGGCACCUCGAUGUUGGCUUAGAGUAACCUAAUAAAGCAAAAAUUA